This 5771-nucleotide long non-coding RNA is filed under the name Hordeum vulgare. RNAcentral describes it as "long non-coding RNA (HVUL_LNC011757)". Lineage: Eukaryota; Viridiplantae; Streptophyta; Magnoliopsida; Poales; Poaceae. The record is from RNAcentral.
UUCCGUCCAGCUGAUGGGAGAGAGAGCUGCUUUGCCGUCUACUUUCUGCAUCCAUGACGGCAAAGAAAAAAACCCAGCGCCACACACCCCACACACCGACCCAAAAUAUCCCGCGGCCCCCCUCUCUCUCACGAUCGGAUACUCCCUGUGAGCUCAGCCACGAGCGCAUACAACCCACGAUCCCUCAUCGUUCGUCGCCCCCUCCCCUGUCGCCGCCGCUGCCGCCAUCCCCGGCCGCCGCCUCCGCCCUCCCCGGCCGCCGCGGCCGCAACAGUUGGUAGCUGUGAGCUGGCUGGGGGAUAACUCCGGUGGAGCUCCGUUCCCGCCCCAUCGCGAGCCUCCCUGCCAGUCCCCGCCUCCCUACUACUUGCUGCCGCCGCCCCCAUGGAUCGAGGCGGGUCACGCCUUCAAGGUGAGAUCGAGCAUCUGAAAUAAAUUUAUUUCCGUUGAUAGUUUGUACAAAAAUGUUUCUCUGGAUAUGCAAAUUAGUAUAUACUAGUCAUCGACCCGUGCAUGGCCGGUUUUCUAACAUUUUCUUUCUAUAUAAAUUAUGGAAAAAAUGUGCUUUCUGAUAUGAAGAACUAUACUUGAGAUGUGUGUGAAGCAUAUACGUUUAUGCACACUGAUAUUGGAAAAAUUAAGUAUGCAAAUAAUUCAAUCAAAAUCAUCAUAUAUUAAGUUUUCAGAUAACAAAGUGUCACAUUAUAUUGGACAAAGUUCAUUACAUGAAGAUCCAAUUAUCCAUGAAGACUUUCCCUAAGAAUAUGUUUGUUGGUCUCAUUUGGGAAGGAUGUAGAGCCACCAAAUACAUUGCUUAGUUUCUUAUACAUAGGUGUGACCUUUUAUGUGGGUGACCAUUUAAAAUAUGUUUAAAGAGCAUAAAAUUUGGUUAGUGGAGCAAUUUGAUCUCCAUCUCCAUAAAUAUUUGUUAUCUAUGCUGGUAUAUCUUGACUGAAAUAUGAUAAUGCUCGCUCAAAACGUAGUCGCUGCUUGGGAGAGCAAGGCGCAACUACGUAAUUAAGGUUACAUGUUGAUGUGGCUGUAAUUAGUUAGGCCAGGAUUAACGUCUACCUCUCCCUAUAGUUGAAUUUAGGGUGGGGUUGGAGAGAAUUUAGGAAGGUUACAUAAGUCGGUUAUGUUGAUUUACCUAGUUGUAGCAUUUUCACUUUCAAGUGCAAAAAAAUGCAUCAUAGUUGUUGUGGGAAUGCUUCUAUCGAGUCAAGAUAAAAUAGUGGUAUUUAGAAAUAUCAGACUAAGUAACCAUACAACAUGAUACCAAUAAUAGGAAUGAUUAUGUUCUACCUUAAUGCAACGGAAUAAACGUGGAGUAUAGUUUGCUGCUGGUUUUACUUUUCCAAUAGGGACAGGAAAAGGCCGUAUUUAGAGGUGUAGAUAGAUUGAGAUGAGCAUUUUUCCCUUUUAUUUUUCCAAUCAUGAAAUAGACUUGGAGUUGUAGAUGGAUUGAGAUAGAGAUGUGAGUUUUUUUCCAUUUUAUUAUUUCAUACGUGAAAGAGAUGUGGAGUUGUAGAUAGAUUGAGAAUGAGAUGUGAGUUAUAGUGCAGCGAACUUUUAGUCAUGUCGUAUUGCGUAUAAUUUUUUUUGUCAUUUCUAAAGCACAUUUAGUAGUUAAAGUGUAGCCAACUUUUUAUUUGACCAAAGAAAAUUUAAAUUUCAAUGGAAGCAGAUCCAAUUGAUAUCAAUGCACUGUCGACCAUGGUUAAAAUCAUGCUCCCACCAAGGAUCGGUCGCCAUAAGCUUGCACCUUUACUCCCCCACUGCCUCUGUCCAUGUUAUUAGCAUUAGGGCCUCCAUUUAGGAGAAUGAGUUCUCCAUCUCAAUAGUCAUCUCAAAAGAUAAUUUACUACCAUGUUUUUGCAUAAUAAAACGACGUGCAAAGCACGUACAGAUUACUAGUAAUACAAGUAUGUAUGUAAGCCUUUCCCUUAAAAACCAAGUUUAUUAGUAUGCUCCCUCGGACAUGAGGCUAGCCUUCCAGGUAGCAAUUUUUUUAUAUUAUGUCCUGGUAAUAAAUAAUUGAUUAUCAUACCCGAUUUAAUUAAUCUUGGCAGAUGUAGCAUAUCUGAUUGCUUAGCUCCAGCUUAUAUUAUAUUUUGUGCAUUCAAAUGGUUUUCUGUCUUAUCAACAUUUUGCAAGUAGUGGUAUGGAUGAUCGUGAGUGGAUGUACACUGGCCACCCUAGUCAGGCUGGCAUGACCUUUGAGUGGGUGGCCAAGACCAAUGAAUUCAUAGAGGCAACAUUUGCUAGUGGCAAGAGAAAAACUUGGUGUCCUUGUUUGGAGUGCAAAAACCACCGAGAACAGUCAAAGAAGACGACGUGUUUACAUCUGCAGAAGUAUGGGUUUAAGCCUGGGUAUACCCAAUGGACCUUUCAUGGCGAGACCGAACAUAGCAGAGAGGAGGUGGUGCAUCAGCGCACCAACGAUAAUGGUACCGGGAUCCAUGACAUUGUAGCUGGAUUCAAUGAUGCACGUGAUGUGGGAUCAUAGGAAGAACCAGAGGAGUCUGUGAGGGCAUUCUUAGAAAUGCUGAAUUCAUCACAACAACCUCUUCAUGACUACACAGAUCAGUGCCAGCUGGAUGCCAUCAGACAAGCAAUGUCUAUGAAGACCCAGUUCAACAUGAGCAGAGAUAACUUUAAUUCAAUGAUGACCUCUUGGGGUUGCUCUCUCCCUAAAGGUCACAAACUGCCUAAAAGUUGGUACGAAGCGAAGAAAACCCUUUGUGCACUUAAGAUGUUGUAUGAGCAGAUACACACUUGCCCAAACGGAUGUGUCUUAUUUAUGAAAGAGUAUGCAGGCGACAAGUACUGUGCCAAGUGCGACUCCUGUAGGUAUAUCGAGAGAGUCCUCAGUGUACGAAGAAGCAUACCAAAUUCCCAACAAAUGUUCUUCGGUAUCUUCCAAUACUUCCAAGAAUUUAACGGCUUUACUUGAACGAAGAUACAACUGAACAAAUGGUAUGGAACAAAUAUUGGAUAAGACGUGACAAGGAUGAUCAUGGGAGACCAUGUUGAUACAUCCAUCUUGUGCCCAAGCAUGGAAGAAUUUUGAUUGAUUACAUCCCGAGAAAGCAAAAGAGGCAAGGAAUGGACGAGUCGCCAUCAGACUUGAUGGGUUCAAUCCAUUUGGUUUUUUCUAAAAGACAUAUAGUUGUUGGCCUGUGUUUGUUGUUCCCCUCAACCUCCCCCGGGCGUCCUAAUGAAAUGCAAACACAUAUUCCUAUCGUUGAUAAUACCAGGGCCCAAGUAUCUGGGGAAGAAUAUAAAUGUGUACCUCGAUCCACUAAUAGAUGACUUGAAAGAAGCUUGGGUGAAUGGGAUACAGACAUACGACGCUGCUAGAGUGGACGAUUGGUGUUCCAAAGAGUAUAGAGUGACAAAUAAAGAUUAUAGAAAACGUCGAGUCACAAUGAAGUAUUCACCACACCAUCAAGGCAACUUAGGCCUUAAGGAGUUUGGGAAACGUUGGGUAUGUCUUUCUUCCCAUCGAUUUGUUCUUCAUAAGCUUUCGUUUGUCCUACAUGCUUUCAAUCAUAGUUGUCAAUCGUUGUGACGAAAUCUUAAUCAUGUUGCUUUGGUUGCUAGCAUCUCAGCAUAAUGUUCUAGAGCCUACACUUUUCCAGGUGUACGCUUUGGCCCAUAAGGCACCGUUCAGAUCUGCAACGCCGUAAAAUGACAGUCACACAUCAUCUGCGUACACUAGCAAGGCCGCCUACGAUCGGAUGGUCACAUUUAAAAGUAUGGCAAAAAAGAUGAAAGGGCUUGAGUAUGACGUAACAUCUGAGCCCCUUGACCACAUGUUGGUUAUGAUCACUGGAGGUGGUAGGAAACAUGGCACUGAAGCGAUUGCAGGAGGCAUGUUUCCUAAUUCCUCCCUUCGCACUCUCCCCGAGUACAAAGCUCGGUUAGGUAUCCCAAAAUCUUCUAUAUGUCAAUGCAAGACUCUAGCAGUGGUUGAGAUAGAGGUAAUCUAUACAAGUCCUCCUUUAUAUGCUUUUUUAAAAUUCUUACUUAGUGUUGAAUUUGAAGAUGCGAUUGCAAUUCUAUAUUAUGUAGUCCCAAUUGGAGGAGGAGAGGUGACUAGCAGAUGAGAGGUUGGAGGCAAGGUUGGCGGAGGAGAGGCGACUCGCGGAGGAGAAGAGGGCGGAAGAGAGGCGACUCGUGGAGGAGUAUAGGGUGGAGGAUAAGCGACAAGCAGGUGCGAGUAUGCAGCAGGCGUUGGCUGCACAAACUAGGGAAUAUUUUGAGAUGUUUCACGUUAGUUCCUUAAUACCCAAGAAGAUGUAGUAUUUUACUACUAGAACUUAACCUUCACUUUUCAAACAUAACUUGCAUGCUUAUUGUAGUCAGAAUGGUAUGCCUGCUAUGGUGAUGUCUGCCUUUACUCCGAACCAUACAAUUAGUUAACUAAUAUACUUGCAAGUGCCAUUAUUGCAUUUCUUAGUGCGAGUGUCUUGCUAACAGUGCAAUACUUCAUGCAUCAUCAAUCAGGACAUGGAUCGAAUAAGGAUGUCUAUUCACAUGCACCAGGCCCAAGUGGAAAUAACCUUGGUGGUUCUCCUUAUCUUUGAGAUCGACUAAGGUUAGUGCCUACAUAUCUCAUUUACAUAGGUCCCAAAUUUAUCAACGUAGAGACAAGUAGCUAUAUGAAUUCUAGCUUGAAUAUAAAACUUCUAAGGUAGAGACGAGUUGAGGCUAUUUACUUUCAUGAUUUAGAGACCAGUUGAAGAUAUUCCUGAUUUAGAGUAUUAAAUUUGAAUCAAACCUGGUUGGAAUUCAGCAGUCCCCUUAAAACAUAUUUGCUAGAACCAAAACAUACUCAUGAAACAAGCACGAAAAUAGCAUUUUGAUAAACAAAAAGAGACACUUGGUAUAAAAGAUGUCAUCAUAUCAGGUCCUCAACAGAAGAACUCUUAGGAUGCUAAGAUAUAGAUAUGAUACCAAAGCAAACAGAUUACAUAACCAAACACUUGUUUUCAAGAGUCAAAAACCUUAGGUCUCGUACUCUCAUCAUGUGACCAAACUCUGCACUGCAAGCAUACAUAGGGUAUAUUCAUAUUAUUAUUCAUGACACAUCUCAACUAACUGUAAGCAAAAAAGGCAAACUCAUUAUGAAAAUUAGUUCACACUUGAACAUUAAAACAUAUAACUUCUAAAUAAAUAGACAAGCGGUAUACUUCUAUGUGCCAAAAGUCACCAGUAACAAAAAUCCAGUAAAAUAUAAAAUUUCUGUGAUUCUAAAAAAUUGUAAUAUAGUUUUAGAGGCACUAGAAAUGUGACAUAUUUAUGAUUUCAAGCAUGUUAUUGUUGGCAUAUCAAUGAUUUCAAGCAUGCUAUUUUUCUUGUUGUGCCAAAAUGUGGCAUAGAUUAUUUCAUCUUGUAGGUUGCCACCUGGAUGCUCAUUGGACUACGGCAUGGACAUGAAGACACUUGUUGUAGUGGCAAAUCUUAUGUAGGAUGCUUGCUUUGUUCGUUGUGUAUCAUCUUUGUUAUGUAACUAUGCUAUAUAUGCAUCUUUGUUAUGGAACUAUGCUACAGAUAUGUGUUAUGGAACUAUGUUAUGGAUAUGUGUUAUGGAACUAUGCUAUGGAUAUGUGUUAUGGAACUAUGCUAUAUAUAUGGAUCUUCGUUCAUUGUAUAUUAUUUUGUUAUGGUUCUGUGAUAUGGAUCUUUGCUAUGGACGAGGGGAAAUAUUUUGAUAUAUAUAUAUGUUGUGGAUUUUUGUUGUGUUAUGGAACUGCUUAUAUAUAUGC